CGGCACUCCGGAGAAUUCUGUUGCCGCAAGGCGGUGAACGGAUGCCGAAGGUGCAAGCGCUGAUCGCGUGUAUACGGUCGGAUCAGCGUAAAUCUCUCAGGCAAAAGGACGGAGGC
This 116-nucleotide non-coding RNA is filed under the name uncultured Ruminococcus sp. Its description in RNAcentral is "Glycine riboswitch". It matches the Rfam family "Glycine riboswitch aptamer", at positions 9 to 86 of the family's 94-position model. From Rfam's summary of the family: This family represents the bacterial glycine riboswitch. Glycine riboswitches usually consist of two metabolite-binding aptamers domains with similar structures in tandem. The aptamers cooperatively bind glycine to regulate the expression of downstream genes. The record is from RNAcentral. Lineage: Bacteria; Bacillati; Bacillota; Clostridia; Eubacteriales; Oscillospiraceae.